RNAcentral lists this ribosomal RNA (253 nucleotides) under uncultured bacterium. RNAcentral describes it as "partial 16S ribosomal RNA". It matches the Rfam family "Bacterial small subunit ribosomal RNA", at positions 524 to 776 of the family's 1533-position model. The record is from RNAcentral.
UACAGAGGUCCCGAGCGUUGUUCGGAUUUAUUGGGCGUAAAGGGUGCGUAGGCGGCGGAGUAAGUUGGGUGUGAAAUCCCGGGGCUUAACCUCGGAAUUGCAUUCAAUACUGCUUCGCUCGAGUACUGGAGAGGAGGCUGGAAUUUACGGUGUAGCAGUGAAAUGCGUAGAUAUCGUAAGGAAGGCCGGUGGCGAAAGCGAGCCUCUGGACAGUUACUGACGCUGAUGCACGAAGGCCAGGGGAGCAAACAGG